Oncorhynchus tshawytscha (Chinook salmon) is the source of this 649-nucleotide long non-coding RNA. Lineage: Eukaryota; Metazoa; Chordata; Actinopteri; Salmoniformes; Salmonidae. The record is from Ensembl.
GGGGGGGGCAGCAGGACCAGUGACAGACUUACCAUUAGGCAGAAGUGGCAAUUGCAUCAGGCCACACUUCAUCAAGGGGCCUCGUGAGCUGGGCAUAUAGAUUUUUUACUAGUAUUUUUUUUUAUUUUUUAUUUUUAUAAUUUCACCACUUGAGUCCCACCAUUGUCAGCUCAUCGCUCUCAUUCUGUCUUGCUUCAGCAGGUUGGUCCAGUUGGUCCAGCAGGUUGGUCCAGUAGGUUGGUUCAGCAGGUUGGUUCAGCAGGUUGGUUCAGCAGGUUGGUUCAGCAGGUUGGUUCAGCAGGUUGGUUCAGCAGGUUGGUUCAGCAGGUUGGUUCAGCAGGUUGGUCCAAUAGCAGCUAAAUCUGCUGGAAGGUUCAAAGGAAAUGGGGAGUGAGGUUUUUUUCCCCUGGCUACUGUGCCCAGGUUAAUAAGGCCACAUUGUUGACAAAAAAAGGACUCCAAAAAAGUUAAUGAAUCCAUACAGCCGAAUAAUGAUUCAAAAUAGAUCAAUCAUUUCUUUCCAUACACAUAUUUCAUAUCUAUAUUCCACGUUUUUCUCAUAAUAGUAGAAACAAGUGUCAUCAAUCACCCAUUCAUAAUAAUGGACUAUUCCACCCUGACAGAGUUCCAGUGAAUUGUUUCGCACCGU